GUCACGGGCCGGGCUGCAGCUGGAGAGCACCGCGCGGCGCAGUGAGCGGGACUCACCGGCAGAGGGAGUGAAGCGCUCCCCUCCUCGCGUUCCCCCUGUUUGAAGAGACAAUGUCGCGUUAUGGCACCGGAGACAGAACUUGAUGAGGUGCACAGGAACCACACGCACCUUUGGGUCCAGCGAUACUCCAGGCUGUGAAACCGGGCUCUCCCUCUCCGCUCUGACCGGCUCCGCCGCCGCUUUGCUCUUCAAGAUGGUUUCAACGCUGUGACACGACACAGUGUCAUCUCAGUGUCUUACAUAACACCACAUUAUACCGGUUUGUAUUGGAAGAGCGCGUUACUAUGCGUUGUCCUGAAGAGUCGGCGGCUUCUUCCCUCCGAGUCCGGAGCAGAUGAACCUGGAGCUCAGCUCGUCCACCUCCCCGAUCACCAUCACCGCCACGUCUCCGUCCCGGCCGAGCAGCCAGCUCACGCUUUUACGGUUGUCUGUGGGGAACACGCACACCACCAGCUGAUUCACCCAAAAAUAAUACAGACAACAGUUGUACAAUCGCUUCUUCAACAUUCUUAUUUGAGUUGAGGGAAAACAGAUUCACAGCAGAACCUUUUUCAUAAUUCAAUGCACUCAAAAUCUGAGAUAAUCUGUUUUUGCUGAUUAUCAGUAUCAGGUGUAAAGAACUGAGAUGAUUUUGGUUCAAACACACUCUUAACUAACAGCUGGUGGCUGCCAAGCACCUCGAUAUGCAUGAAACGGGAAGUUAUCUAAUUAUGAUAAUAUCAAGUCACACCUUAAAACCAUUAAAUGCCAAUUUGUUUCCUAUCGUAAUAAACAGCGGAUGAGCUCUU
Molecule: long non-coding RNA, 848 nt
Organism: Betta splendens (Siamese fighting fish)
Lineage: Eukaryota; Metazoa; Chordata; Actinopteri; Anabantiformes; Osphronemidae
Exons: 2
Source: RefSeq, a predicted model, not a curated record